RNAcentral lists this ribosomal RNA (496 nucleotides) under uncultured bacterium. Its description in RNAcentral is "partial 16S ribosomal RNA". It matches the Rfam family "Bacterial small subunit ribosomal RNA", at positions 29 to 507 of the family's 1533-position model. The record is from RNAcentral.
AUGCACGCUGGCGGCGUGCCUAAUACAUGCAAGUCGAGCGAACAGACGAGGAGCUUGCUCCUCUGACGUUAGCGGCGGACGGGUGAGUAACACGUGGAUAACCUACCUAUAAGACUGGGAUAACUUCGGGAAACCGGAGCUAAUACCGGAUAAUAUAUUGAACCGCAUGGUUCAAUAGUGAAAGACGGUUUUGCUGUCACUUAUAGAUGGAUCCGCGCCGCAUUAGCUAGUUGGUAAGGUAACGGCUUACCAAGGCAACGAUGCGUAGCUGACCUGAGAGGGUGAUCGGCCGCACUGGAACUGAGACACGGUCCAGACUCCUACGGGAGGCAGCAGUAGGGAAUCUUCCGCAAUGGGCGAGAGCCUGACGGAGCAACGCCGCGUGAGUGAUGAAGGUCUUCGGAUCGUAAAACUCUGUUAUUAGGGAAGAACAAAUGUGUAAGUAACUAUGCACGUCUUGACGGUACCUAAUCAGAAAGCCACGGCUAACUACGUG